This 253-nucleotide ribosomal RNA is filed under the name uncultured bacterium. RNAcentral's name for it is "partial 16S ribosomal RNA". It matches the Rfam family "Bacterial small subunit ribosomal RNA", at positions 524 to 776 of the family's 1533-position model. The record is from RNAcentral.
UACGGAGGGAGCUAGCGUUAUUCGGAAUUACUGGGCGUAAAGCGCACGUAGGCGGCUUUGUAAGUUAGAGGUGAAAGCCUGGAGCUCAACUCCAGAAUUGCCUUUAAGACUGCAUCGCUUGAAUUCAGGAGAGGUGAGUGGAAUUCCGAGUGUAGAGGUGAAAUUCGUAGAUAUUCGGAAGAACACCAGUGGCGAAGGCGGCUCACUGGACUGGUAUUGACGCUGAGGUGCGAAAGCGUGGGGAGCAAACAGG